Molecule: ribosomal RNA, 498 nt
Filed under: uncultured bacterium
Lineage: Bacteria
Description: partial 16S ribosomal RNA
Rfam family: Bacterial small subunit ribosomal RNA
Source: RNAcentral
AUUGAACGCUGGCGGAAUGCUUUACACAUGCAAGUCGAACGGCAGCACGGGGCAACCUGGUGGCGAGUGGCGAACGGGUGAGUAAUACAUCGGAACGUGCCCAAUCGUGGGGGAUAACGUAGCGAAAGUUACGCUAAUACCGCAUACGAUCUACGGAUGAAAGCGGGGGAUCGCAAGACCUCGCGCGAAUGGAGCGGCCGAUGUCAGAUUAGGUAGUUGGUGGGGUAAAGGCUCACCAAGCCGACGAUCUGUAGCUGGUCUGAGAGGACGACCAGCCACACUGGGACUGAGACACGGCGCAGACUCCUACGGGAGGCAGCAGUGGGGAAUUUUGGACAAUGGGCGAAAGCCUGAUCCAGCCAUUCCGCGUGCAGGAUGAAGGCCUUCGGGUUGUAAACUGCUUUUGUACGGAACGAAACGGUCCUUUCUAAUACAAGGGGCUAAUGACGGUACCGUAAGAAUAAGCACCGGCUAACUACGUGCCAGCAGCCGCCGUAA